This 300-nucleotide long non-coding RNA is filed under the name Brassica rapa (field mustard). Its description in RNAcentral is "long non-coding RNA (BRAP_LNC004989)". The record is from RNAcentral. Lineage: Eukaryota; Viridiplantae; Streptophyta; Magnoliopsida; Brassicales; Brassicaceae.
UGAACGUCGUCUUAAAACCGAUUUGUUUCUGGCAAUUUUCUCGGAACCGACAUAUUCCAAAUCGUCAACGUGGAAACGACCAAAUCACAGUCCAAGCAUCGUCUAUAAAUCGUCCCGAAUUAUCGAUCAUUCCAGAAAAAAGCAAGUCACGGAAAAGCAUCAAAAACAUUUGCGACGAAGAAAACUCGCGAAUAGAUGUAGCAUCGUGCACAUUAAAAGGAGCACUUUCCUCCCGAUGGUUAGCUAGAUCCACCUCUGGUUGCACAAUUCGUUCAAGAAACGAAUGUGUCAUGAGAAUCC